RNAcentral lists this ribosomal RNA (433 nucleotides) under uncultured bacterium. Its description in RNAcentral is "partial 16S ribosomal RNA". It matches the Rfam family "Bacterial small subunit ribosomal RNA", at positions 29 to 507 of the family's 1533-position model. The record is from RNAcentral.
AACGAACGCUGGCGGCAUUCCUAACACAUGCAAGUCGAACGAGACCUUCGGGUCUAGUGGCGCACGGGUGCGUAACGCGUGGGAACCUGCCCUUAGGUUCGGAAUAACUCCCCGAAAGGGGUGCUAAUACCGGAUAAUGUCUUCGGACCAAAGAUUUAUCGCCUUUGGAUGGGCCCGCGUUGGAUUAGCUAGUUGGUAGGGUAAAAGCCUACCAAGGCGACGAUCCAUAGCUGGUCUGAGAGGAUGAUCAGCCACACUGGGACUGAGACACGGCCCAGAAUCCUACGGGAGGCAGCAGUGGGGAAUAUUGGACAAUGGGCGAAAGCCUGAGCCAGCAAGGCCGCGUGAGUGAUGAAGGCCUUAGGGUUGUAAAGCUCUUUUACCCGGGAUGAUAAUGACAGUACCGGGAGAAUAAGCUCCGGCUAACUCCGUG